CAGGAUUGAUUUAUGAGUGCUUGUCAUUUUCCUUCUUGUCUGGAGUAUUAAUAUAUUUCUUCAUACUAAUUGAUGGGGUGGGUUUGUGGCUUCACAUUUUCCUUCUUGUCUGGAGUAUUAAUAUAUUUCUUCAUACUAAUUGAUGGGGUGGGUUUGUGGCUUCACAUAGAGUAUCUGAUUGCAGAUUCCACCUGCCACCAUGGGGAGGGGGAGCAUUGUCAGGAGCUGCGUAUUCUGAGCCCACCGCGAUCCCUGGCAUCUGUGCCUGUCCUUUGGAAUCUAUGCUGACAGGGCCCAUCUGCAAUUACCCACUUGCAGCUGCUGCUUUUCUAAGGUAUGCAUGGGUGCUCUGGCCAACCAGCCAAGCCUGAGUACCAGGCAGGGGGAUGGGCACUUUCUUGUGUGUGUGUAAUCCCAGGGACAUUCUCACUCUGCCCAAUUAUCUCCCUCCUGGGGUGCUGGCUUGAUGAAGACACCCUGCAAUAGCUUAGCUUCUUCUGUGUGGAGCUUUCCCACAUACUGUGAGGGAACUUGGAGAACAAAGGUGUUCCCACAGAGAGCCACCCCUCCAUCCUCCUUUCUCAGAGCCACAUAUGUUCCCAGGCCCUAGAUCACUGCCAUGGAGGGAGAGGAGAUCCCCUUACCUCCUUCCACUUCCUCUCAGGGGGUCCAGCACCUCCACCUUCAGAAGAAUGGCUGAGUGGGUCUCUCAGACAUCUUUUGUGUCAUGUGAAUGUCCUCUCUUGGUUUAUGAAUGUCCUUUUCAUUGUAUCUUAGUGGGGAGAGUCUGAGGGAAGAGCUCUCUCCACCACGAUGCUGAUGUCACUCCAGCUCUAGUUAAGAACUUUUACAACUCAAUAAUAAGAUAAACAACUCAAUUUUUAAAAACAGGAAAAAGAUCUGUACAGGUACUUAACAAAAAGAUGCUCAACUUCAUGGGUUACUAGGGAAAUUAAAAUCACAAUAAGGUACUACUAUAUAUGUAUUAGAAUAUCUUAAAUUUAAAAUACUGAAAUGCCAGGUGUUGCUGAAGAUGUGGUACAAUUGGACCUCUCAUACGUUGCUGAUGGAGACGCAAAGUGGUGCAGCCACUGGAAAACAGUUUUUCACUGCCUUAAAAAUUGAAGCAUACGUCUACUACGUGACUCAGCAAUUCCACUCCUAGGUGUUUAUUUAAAAGAAAUGAAAGUAUAUGUCCACACAAAGAUUUGUACAUGAAUGUUCAUAGCAGCAUUAUUCAUAAUAACCAAACAGUAGAAACAACUCAAAUAUCCAUCAACUUGUCAAUGUAUAAACAAAAUGUGGCAUACGCAUUCAACAGAAUACAAUUUAGCAAAUAAAAUGGAAUAAACUACUGAUAUACAGAACAAUGUAGAACAAUCUCAAAAUGAUGAAAGAAACCAGACACAAAAGACAUAUGAAAUAUGAAUAUGAAAUUCUGGAGAAAGCAAAAAUAUAGCAGCAGAAAGCAGACCAGUGCUUAUCUUAUAGCUGGGCAUGAGGGACAGCUUGACUGCAAAGGGGCAAAAGGGAAUUUUUGGGGUGACUGAAGUGUUCUAAAACCUGAUUCUAGUGGUGGUUGCACAACUCUAUACAUUUACUAAAACUCAUACAACUUGACACUUAAAAUGUGUGAACUUUGUGUUAUAUAAAUAUGCUUCAAUAAUAAUUUUAAGGGUGUAUACAUUAAACCUCAAAGUGGUUUCUUUAAAAAAAAAAGGGAUUGCUAUUCAGCAAGUAAAUUGUUGCUGUUGAGCAUCAGUUUGAAAUGCC
Long non-coding RNA from Equus caballus (horse), 1773 nucleotides. The record is from Ensembl. Lineage: Eukaryota; Metazoa; Chordata; Mammalia; Perissodactyla; Equidae.